CCUACGGGUGGCAGCAGUGGGGAAUAUUGCACAAUGGGGGAAACCCUGAUGCAGCGACGCCGCGUGAGCGAGGAAGUAUUUCGGUAUGUAAAGCUCUAUCAGCAGGGACGAAAAAAGACGGUACUUGACUAAGAAGCCCCGGUUACCUACGUGCCAGCAGCGGCGGUAUUACGUAGGGGGCAAGCGUUAUCCGGAUUUACUGGGUGUAAAGGGAGCGUAGACGGGAAGGCAAGCCAGAAGUGAAAGGGCAGGGCUCAACCCUGUAAAUGCUUUUGGAACUGUGGUGCUAGAGUGCAGGCGAGGAUAGUGGAAUUCCUGGUGUAGCGGUGAAAUGCGUAGAUAUUAGGAGGAACACCAGUGGCGAAGGCGGGUUACUGGACUGUAACUGACGUUGAGGCUCGAAAGCGUGGGGAGCAAACAGGAUUAGAUACCCGGGUAGUC
Molecule: ribosomal RNA, 441 nt
Filed under: uncultured bacterium
Lineage: Bacteria
Description: partial 16S ribosomal RNA
Rfam family: Bacterial small subunit ribosomal RNA
Source: RNAcentral